ACCUAACCCAUCCCAUGUAACUGGAAUGACACUGUAUUGCUCAGGCAGAUCCCAUUUGUUGAUCCUUCAAGAUCCAACGACUGGGAACUGGGCCUCGAAUCCCUUUUAUAUAUCUGAAGACCCCCUCCUCCCAUACCCAGAGAACCCCCUUCAUUCGUUUAUCAUCUCUAAAGUAGCAAACCCUAGCUGCCUUAUUUCUCUCUUGAAUUCUCAAAGCUCGAACCUUGGCUUCCACCCACCGAAAAUAUUUCAAGGCGGCAGCAUGCCACCAAACUUAUCUUCUAUACCCCCAACCUCCCCUUUACUUUAAUCUAUCAACCAUCCUACCAAUAACCUCAUCAAAUUCCCUGAAGAUCAGAUCUAAGAAGACCCUAAAUCGCCCUAACUCCGUUCUCCGCCUCCCAAGUUCUAGAUUUGAAUCAAGGCUAGCGUUAAGCCAUUGUUCUUGCUAAGAACUAUCUCCUAAUGUUAGUUUUGAUUCAUUUCGAGAGUUGAUGUCUUGACCGAGCCACCAUACAUAGCCAAGUUCAUUUUCCCCCCUUUAUUCAGUCUUUCUGUUAGGCCUUUUCUUUUUUUAUUCUUCUUUGGUUUUGUUUUUUUUUACUUGUUUUUCAAUUAUUAUCCUAGUUGUGAUUGCAUGCCUAGUUGAUUUUGUUUGGUUAAUUAUUUUUUCAAAUCAGUUGACAUCAUAUGUUUGUUUGAAUCGAAUGGAGAUUGUAUUUGUUUCUUCUUUAGAUAAUCGAAAACUCUUAUUAGUUUAGCCAAUUUAUCAUGAUUAUAUUUUGUAUUUUUUUUACCAUUUUUAUUAGUUAUUUUAUAUGAUGUUACUAAUGGCGUUUUAGUUUGAAGGUUUUCCCUUUGUGUUGAGAUUUCAAUACCAAAUGUCUAAAUGUUUAUCCCUCUUUGAUUGUGAACAAAUUUGGAAAAUAGCCAACUAUCUGAUUCAAUUUUUGUAUAGUUAGUAAUAGUUAGGGAACUAUUGGGGUAUUAGGUCAAUAAUAGAAACUUGGGAUAUUAUUUGAGAGUAAUAAAAUCAUAUCUUUGUGGGGGAGGCUUCUCUAAUAGGGGCAGCUAGCCUUAUUUGGUUAGCACAAGUUGCUGGAGCCAAUAAAAGGUGGCCAGCUGUCCCAUUUAGUUACAAAAGAUUCCUUGCAGGCUGAAAGAAUUCCCAUAGUCCGUUUCAACAGUUCCCUUGCCUAUAAAGGCACGUUUUGCCUUCUUACUGAAGGCAGACUGCGAGAGAUAAAAAAUUUUGAAAACUAUAUUGGGCUAAAAAGCAAUAACAACAGAAAUCACUGUAAAGUCUGAAGAAUCGGAAGAGAAGCACCAGGAAAAAUACUAUUUCAUUGAGUUUGUACGUUUCUUUUGGGGUUUCUUAAAGUCUUGACGUAUUUCUGAUUUUGUUGGUCUUUUUAAAAAUGGUGUGAAAAGCUGGGUUUGUUGUGGUUAAGCUGUUGAAUUCCAUUUUCUCUUUGUUGCUGCUGCUCACUGAUUCUUCCUUGCCCUUUUUCUUUUCUUACUUCCAGGUAUUCUACUGAAUCUUUGAUGGAAGGGGCUUUGACUGAAUAUGUGUAGAGAUUUGAAUUAAAUGAAAACAAACUGGACUGUUUAAUUACUGUGUAAUUCAAUUAUAUAUUUCUCGUGUUUUAUUAGCUUGUUGUGAAGAUUUCAUCAUGAAAUAUAGUUGGCUUCAAAUGUUAACUAUAAGCUUUAUUUGAGCAUAACGGAUUCAUGUUUAGACAUGUUAAGACAUGUAGUCAUUACGGACUGCGAUUUUAGUUUAGCUAAUUGAAACUGUUUGGUUUUUUUGGUCUGGGGUCAUAUAACUAUCAUUUCAAGUGCAUGUUAAUUUUAAAUUAUGAGUUUGUUGAUAUUAGUGUAAGCUAAUGAACAUGUUCAAAUUUGCAUUUAUAUGGUUUAGAAUUUUCCAUUAGUUCUUCUUCCAGAGUAUAUUGAGCCCUUUUGGAAAGUAAUUGAAUAUCAAGUGGAAUUUGGAUUCGUUCAUUCGUCUUUGGUUAAUUCCUCAAAGUCAGCUUGAUUCCUCACAUGAUUUCCUCUAAAGCUGGGACUGUAUGACUUUAUUUGGGUGUAUUGGUCAGGAUUUAAUUUGAGUUGUAAUUCUCAAGCUCUUUUGAUAUUAAGUUAUGGAUAUCUUCUGAAAAGGUAUUAUUAUUAAUAGGGUUGUCUUAGAAUUCAUGUGUGGAAUUAUGGUUUCAAAUAUAUCUGAAUUAAAAUUUCCUUAAGUAAUGGUUCAAUGCCAGAUUUUCCUAAGUAAUACUAUUGUUGAAACUGUACCUGAUGGACUACGUAUUGGGCUAUCAUUUUGACCCAAUUGCCACCACAUUUCCUCCGCAGUCAGGUGACCAAAUUGGGCUUCAUGGGGAGCCCAGUUAUUCAGCCUACCAAGUCUGUCAAAGUGGGCGUCCAUGCUAGGUGUGAUUAAUCCAUGUUUUGUUAUUUUACACAGG
RNAcentral lists this long non-coding RNA (2468 nucleotides) under Nicotiana benthamiana. RNAcentral describes it as "long non-coding RNA (NBEN_LNC031194)". The record is from RNAcentral. Lineage: Eukaryota; Viridiplantae; Streptophyta; Magnoliopsida; Solanales; Solanaceae.